CCGCCAAGCCGCGGCCACUCUUACCCUCUUCCUCAGCCCAAGUGCAUAUCAGUUUUCCCUCCAUUGUUUACUGCAAGGCGACCCAAAAAUCUUCCAAUAAAAAAUCGCCACCUGUAUUUUCACUGUCUUUUGUUCUGCUGGUUCUUCGGCCCAGUCUAGCUAGCGAUGAUGGCAACCCAAAGCCACGAUACUGAUCAGAAACCAUCGUCGUUUGAUCAAGCUCCGGCAGUCAGAUCUUGUCGUCGAAGAAAGAAUUUUGGGAGUGGUAGCUUUGUGUCCAACUUAAGAGAUCACUUUCAUGAGUUUCUUCAGGCUUCUGCAAGUGAACAUAGAACUUGCUUGAAAGAAACCGUUCAGAAGAUGUUGAAAGCAUCAAAAGCUUAUAACGAAAAGAGUGCUGACCCUGUUGGAGAAAGUUCGCUGCCUCUUCAAACAACCACAAAAGAGUAGGAAGUUCUUGGUUGCAAUUUUUUGUGUCACCAAUUUCAUGUAGUAUUACAUGCUACAUUGUUUUUGUUUCUAAUGCUUACUUGUCCACCCCCUUUCAUAUGAUGUUUCAUCUUUCUUGUUUGUUUAUCCGGGCCCAAAUUCUGUUUUUAUUAAUUGAGUAGCUUUAAUUUUAGUUUCAACUGUACUAUGAAAUAGUUUAAGAACUUUUUGGAGCAAUUGCAAAUCAUUUAAUGACAAGGAAAUAAAGGAUGUAAUUAGUUAUUCAGUUCUUGCUUAA
Ziziphus jujuba (common jujube) is the source of this 727-nucleotide long non-coding RNA. RefSeq lists it as uncharacterized. The record is from RefSeq and is a predicted model, not a curated record. The transcript has 3 exons. Lineage: Eukaryota; Viridiplantae; Streptophyta; Magnoliopsida; Rosales; Rhamnaceae.